AUUGAACGCUGGCGGCAUGCUUUACACAUGCAAGUCGAACGGCAGCGCGGGCCUCGGCCUGGCGGCGAGUGGCGAACGGGUGAGUAAUGCAUCGGAACGUGCCCAGUAGUGGGGGAUAGCCCGGCGAAAGCCGGAUUAAUACCGCAUACGACCUGAGGGUGAAAGCGGGGGACCGAAAGGCCUCGCGCUAUUGGAGCGGCCGAUGUCGGAUUAGCUAGUUGGUGGGGUAAAGGCUUACCAAGGCGACGAUCCGUAGCUGGUCUGAGAGGACGACCAGCCACACUGGGACUGAGACACGGCCCAGACUCCUACGGGAGGCAGCAGUGGGGAAUUUUGGACAAUGGGAGCAACCCUGAUCCAGCCAUGCCGCGUGCGGGAAGAAGGCCUUCGGGUUGUAAACCGCUUUUGUUCGGGAAGAAAUCCUCUGGGCUAAUACCCCGGGGGGAUGACGGUACCGGAAGAAUAAGCACCGGCUAACUACGUG
RNAcentral lists this ribosomal RNA (484 nucleotides) under uncultured bacterium. RNAcentral describes it as "partial 16S ribosomal RNA". It matches the Rfam family "Bacterial small subunit ribosomal RNA", at positions 29 to 507 of the family's 1533-position model. The record is from RNAcentral.